This 65-nucleotide transfer RNA is filed under the name Eurystomus orientalis. RNAcentral's name for it is "tRNA-Ser". The record is from RNAcentral. Lineage: Eukaryota; Metazoa; Chordata; Aves; Coraciiformes; Coraciidae.
GAGGGAGGUCCGACCAGUAAGGACUGCUAAUUCUUACCUCUGAGCCUAAAAUCUCAGCCCUCUUA